UACGUAGGGUGCGAGCGUUAUCCGGAAUCAUUGGGCGUAAAGAGCUCGUAGGCGGUUCAGCAAGUCGGCUGUGAAAGUCCGAGGCUCAACCUCGGAAUUGCAGUCGAUACUGCUGUGACUCGAGUCCGGUAGAGGAGAAUGGAAUUCCCGGUGUAGCGGUGAAAUGCGCAGAUAUCGGGAGGAACACCAGUAGCGAAGGCGGUUCUCUGGGCCGGCACUGACGCUGAGGAGCGAAAGCGUGGGGAGCAAACAGGAUUAGAAACCCGCGUAGUCC
This 274-nucleotide ribosomal RNA is filed under the name uncultured bacterium. Its description in RNAcentral is "partial 16S ribosomal RNA". It matches the Rfam family "Bacterial small subunit ribosomal RNA", at positions 524 to 796 of the family's 1533-position model. The record is from RNAcentral.